RNAcentral lists this ribosomal RNA (591 nucleotides) under uncultured bacterium. RNAcentral describes it as "bacterial SSU rRNA". It matches the Rfam family "Bacterial small subunit ribosomal RNA", at positions 338 to 949 of the family's 1533-position model. The record is from RNAcentral.
CCUACGGGAGGCAGCAGUGGGGAAUCUUGCGCAAUGGGCGAAAGCCUGACGCAGCAACGCCGCGUGCGGGAUGAAGGCCUUCGGGCUGUAAACCGCUUUCAGCAGGAACGAAAAUGACGGUACCUGCAGAAGAAGGAGCGGCCAACUACGUGCCAGCAGCCGCGGUGACACGUAGGCUCCAAGCGUUGUCCGGAUUUAUUGGGCGUAAAGAGCUCGUAGGCGGUCUAAUAAGUCGGGUGUGAAAACUCUGGGCUCAACCCGGAGACGCCAUCCGAUACUGUUAUGACUUGAGUUCAGGAGGGGAGCGGGGAAUUCCUAGUGUAGCGGUGAAAUGCGCAGAUAUUAGGAGGAACACCGGUGGCGAAGGCGCCGCUCUGGACUGAAACUGACGCUGAGGAGCGAAAGCAUGGGUAGCAAACAGGAUUAGAUACCCUAGGUAGUCCAUGCCGUAAACGGUGGGCACUAGGUGUGGGUUUCACUACGAAAUCCGCGCCGUCGCUAACGCAUAAGUGCCCGCCUGGGGAGUCGGUCGCAAGACAAACUCAAAUGAAUUGACGGUUNUUGAGAGNGCGACGCGACGACGAGGGAGAG